CACUUGCUGUGACUAUAAACUGGUGAUGAAUAUGCUGUUAUACAAUGUUAAUAUGCUGGGAUGUAUAUCAAAGAAAAGUUGGAACACAGAGCUGUGGGAAUUUGAGACUAUUGCAGAUGCCAAAUCAGGACUUGCACUAGAAAAGUGGAACUACCUCCAACAAGAUUAACUUCUGGACAUACAGGUAUGUGAUUCAGCACGAGGCACACUGCACUGUAUCUAUAUACCUGAGUGAAUGUAAAUAUGCUUCUGCAUUAUUAUCAGGCUCAGCCUUGUUCUAUUUAUUUCUCCUUCUUGUGUCCCUUUGGCAAAAGACAAAGUGAUAACAAUUGCACUGAUUAACAGGCAAAGACUAUACUUGCUUUGCAUACUUUUUGAACACUAACCUUAUUGGUUUCCAGAGAAAUUAGAAAAGGAGACAUACAAGUCUACCAGUCCUUUUUGUGUCUUGUACGUUAUGUUCUGCUAAAAAGAGAAGAAAAAGAAUGAAUGAGAGGCAUAACAAGGAGGAGCCUGCAGUAAAAAAAGAGAAUUGAAAACUGCUGAGAAGAUCAGGAAAUUAAUAUAAAGCCAAUUCCCCAACUGAUUUUAAAAAUAAUUUUUUCUAGGGACCUAAAUGAACCUUUCAAGUUUAAUGCAACCCAUGAAAGAUUGCGGGGAAAAGUGCAAACCUAGAGGACAGGACUGUGUUUUGUAGGAAAGAAUGAGUAGAGAACUUUAUUUAAUAAGAACUUUCAUUUUUCUUAUGUCUUGUGCUACAUUAUCCUAUUUUAAAAGUGCAUAGUUCUAAUUUUUGUCUAAAUGCAAGUUAGCUCUGAGUUUAUAAGACCCUUUAAAGCACUAAAGUAUGCAGCAUUUGGAAAAGCAAUAGUGCUUCAGAAUUUACACUAACCUGGGUACCUGCCACCAGCAACCAAACUCCUUACUACUGCUUCACCAAAGCACUGAGGAGCCUAAGUUUGUAACUGGAAUCUUACAGGAGGAUGACUUGGACUUUCUGGAUGUCUUAGAUUGCUGAGGAGUAUUUACUCUUCAUUUGAAAGGUACUUUUCCUUCUAUUCUAAUAACUGUUGUACCAAUCAGAUACCAAUCACACCGUUUAAAUCAGAAGGAACCAAAUGAGGAGGUGGGGGGAAGAGACACAUGGACCAAGACGUUCCUGUGGGUAUCAGCAGGAGUCAGAGUAGUUUAGAUGAUGGAGGCUGAUACCAGGAGACAAAAACUGGUCUGAUGUUAUUUUGAAGUUAAAUAUCAUGGGGAAAGAACAAGAUAACUGGACUAAAAUAAAAUCAGUUUUUCAAGCUUAAAAUCCUAGACUAUAUAGCUGUUAAUAAAAUAAGCUGAAAGUACACAUUCUGAUCAUAACUGAUCAAUGUUAUUAAUUUUUAAUUAAUUUAAUUAAAAAUGUUUAUAUUUUUUCUUUGUUCUAGGGAAAACACUCGACAUAAGAACAUAUUUCCUCUAUGAACUUUACAUUCUUUUCAAUUACCCUCCCAAAGCUCUAAGCACUGCUAAUCAAACAGCUACAUGUUCAAAGUCAACGGUUUGGAAUGCCAGCAUUCAGGCUUUACUGGAGACCCUAACUUGACUCUUAACACAUUAAAACACAAAAUAUAAUGACACAGUUGUUUUAAAAUCCUUGAGACUUUCAGGGUUCAACAUUCAGCCCUUUGCUGCAAACCACACAGCUUUUCUAGCUCAGUACUGGUUACUGGACAUUUCUCCCCAGCCCGUUUUUACUAACUCCUAAAUCAAUUCACACAGUCACUAGAAG
Corvus moneduloides (New Caledonian crow) is the source of this 1774-nucleotide long non-coding RNA. Lineage: Eukaryota; Metazoa; Chordata; Aves; Passeriformes; Corvidae. The record is from Ensembl.